RNAcentral lists this ribosomal RNA (211 nucleotides) under uncultured bacterium. RNAcentral describes it as "partial 16S ribosomal RNA". It matches the Rfam family "Bacterial small subunit ribosomal RNA", at positions 143 to 354 of the family's 1533-position model. The record is from RNAcentral.
GUAACAGUUAGAAAUGACUGCUAAUACCGCAUAAGCGCACAGUACCGCAUGGUAGUGUGUGAAAAACUCCGGUGGUAUAAGAUGGACCCGCGUCUGAUUAGCCAGUCGGCGGGGUAACGGCCCACCAAAGCGACGAUCAGUAGCCGACCUGAGAGGGUGACCGGCCACAUUGGGACUGAGACACGGCCCAAACUCCUACGGAAGGCAGCAG